Long non-coding RNA from Amblyraja radiata (thorny skate), 129 nucleotides. RefSeq lists it as uncharacterized. The record is from RefSeq and is a predicted model, not a curated record. The transcript is spliced from 5 exons. NCBI's taxonomy places the organism in Eukaryota, Metazoa, Chordata, Chondrichthyes, Rajiformes, Rajidae.
UGUGAAAUUUUCCAAGAACUUCUUGGUAAUAGACCUGUACAUUUUGAAUUGAAUUGAAAUUAUUUGUCAUUCAAAAAUGAAUGAAAAGAAAUGAAUAGAUAUAGAUGAAUAUAUAGAAUAGAUAGAAAA